RNAcentral lists this long non-coding RNA (289 nucleotides) under Anolis carolinensis (green anole). RNAcentral describes it as "lncRNA (ENSACAG00000040801.1)". Lineage: Eukaryota; Metazoa; Chordata; Lepidosauria; Squamata; Anolidae. The record is from RNAcentral.
AUGGACGUUUUCCUCCCACCUUCUCGGAUCCAUGCCAUCCCUUUGAAAGGAAACAGCCCUGAGAUGUCUCUUCGGUGUGAAAUUCUCAUUGCUGAAGAAUUUCAGCACAGGAUUAUAGAGAAUCUUAUAAGUUCCAAUUACUGUGCAUUUAGAGUAUAAUAUCACAAUGCCAAAACAAUUUCAGCGACAUGGUGGGCAGCGCGGAAUCCAUUGAAUUAUCAUUUGGAAGACAUUACUGCCCAAAUUAGCAAAUGCCAAAAUGAUUUUAAUGUUCAUUUAUGAUCUCCUC